Molecule: long non-coding RNA, 274 nt
Organism: Syzygium oleosum
Lineage: Eukaryota; Viridiplantae; Streptophyta; Magnoliopsida; Myrtales; Myrtaceae
Exons: 2
Source: RefSeq, a predicted model, not a curated record
UAGCUAACCACAUUCAUUAUUUUCAAGCCAGUAUGCUUCAAACUUAAUUUCUCUCUUUCUUUUUGCAAGUUCCGCUGAGAGAGUUAGCAAGAUAGGACUGCGGUCGGAGUCUAUAGCAGUGUUGUUUGAUUGACAUAUCAACUAUCAAGAAUUCAAGAUAACAUGUCAAUGGAGGUUGAGGGAUGUGAGGAGAUGACUCCGAUCACAGAAUUUGAAUUGUCGGGUGAUGAAAAUGAAGAAGAGCCAUCCCCAACCACGAGUGCGACAAACAAGG